GUCACAAUCAGCUAGGCUCUGAAGACAAAUCCGAGUUCAGGCUGUGGAUUGGCUGAUCCCUCAUGAAUAUGUAGAUUACUCUCACCCUUCACCUCGCUCUGGAAAAACCAGCCACCAUGUUGUAAGGAUGCUCAAGUAGCACUAUGGAGAUUCACACGUGGCAAAGAGCUGAGGCCUCCCACCAACAGCCACAUGAGGGAGCCAGAGUAGGAGUGGCUCCUCCAGCCCCAGUCGAACCUUCAGAUGUGACAGACUUGGCUGCUGACAGUUUGCAAUCUCAUGAGACCCUGAGCCAGAACCACCCAGCUAAAUCAGUCCUGGACUCCUGAUCAACAGAAAUGGUACCAAAGAGAGGCGUUUUGAACAUUAAGACGCUUUGCUGCUUCUCACCUGAAACACGUAACAGGAACACCAACCUCUUCAGCCGCGGGAAAUCUUCUUUGACACAAAACUCAAACCGAGUCAACCCAAAGUUCCAAGUUCUUUGCUUUCUCUUCUGUGUGUGUGUUGGUUUGUCCCAAAAGUCAGUUUGCAAGUUGAAACUUCAUGAAAUUACUCGUAGCAGAAAUAAAGUACAUUGUACAAAUCA
This 589-nucleotide long non-coding RNA is filed under the name Homo sapiens (human). Its description in RNAcentral is "HSALNT0395671". Lineage: Eukaryota; Metazoa; Chordata; Mammalia; Primates; Hominidae. The record is from RNAcentral.